GAGCGUAGGUGGCUUGAUAAGUCAGAUGUGAAAUCCCCGGGCUUNNNNUGGGAACUGCAUCUGAAACUGUUAGGCUAGAGUAGGUGAGAGGGAAGUAGAAUUUCAGGUGUAGCGGUGAAAUGCGUAGAGAUCUGAAGGAAUACCGAUGGCGAAGGCAGCUUCCUGGCAUCAUACUGACACUGAGGCUCGAAAGCGUGGGUAGCANACAGGAUUAGAUACCCUGGUAGUCCACGCCGUAAACGAUGUCUACUAGUCGUUGGGUCCCUUGAGGACUUAGUGACGCAGCUAACGCAAUAAGUAGACCGCCUGGGGAGUACGGCCGCAAGGUUAAAACUCAAAUGAAUUGACGGGGGCCCGCACAAGCGGUGGAGCAUGUGGUUUAAUUCGAUGCAACGCGAAGAACCUUACCUGGUCUUGACAUAUCUAGAAUCCUGCAGAGAUGCGGGAGUGCCUUCGGGAAUUAGAAUACAGGUGCUGCAUGGCUGUCGUCAGCUCGUGUCGUGAGAUGUUGGGUUAAGUCCCGCAACGAGCGCAACCCUUGUCCUUAGUUACCAGCGGGUUAAGCCGGGAACUCUAAGGAUACUGCCAGUGACAAACUGGAGGAAGGCGGGGACGACGUCAAGUCAUCAUGGCCCUUACGACCAGGGCUACACACGUGCUACAAUGGUAGGUACAGAGGGCAGCUACACAGCGAUGUGAUGCGAAUCUCNNAAGCCUAUCGUAGUCCAGAUUGGAGUCUGCAACUCGACUCCNUGAAGUAGGAAUCGCUAGUAAUCGCGGAUCANAAUGCCGCGGUGAAUACGUUCCCGGGCCUUGUACACACCGCCCGUCACACCAUGGGAGUUGAUUG
This 850-nucleotide ribosomal RNA is filed under the name Psychrobacter sp. GB04J30. RNAcentral's name for it is "bacterial SSU rRNA". It matches the Rfam family "Bacterial small subunit ribosomal RNA", at positions 567 to 1417 of the family's 1533-position model. Lineage: Bacteria; Pseudomonadati; Pseudomonadota; Gammaproteobacteria; Moraxellales; Moraxellaceae. The record is from RNAcentral.